This 109-nucleotide ribosomal RNA is filed under the name Planctomycetota bacterium. The record is from RNAcentral. Lineage: Bacteria; Pseudomonadati; Planctomycetota.
CCGGGUGACCACAGUCAGGGGGCCACACCUGUUCCCAUUCCGAACACAGCAGUUAAGCCCCUGACGCCGAUGAUAGUGCCGAGAGGUGCGAAAGUAGGUAUUGCCCGGG